Molecule: long non-coding RNA, 747 nt
Organism: Siniperca chuatsi (mandarin fish)
Lineage: Eukaryota; Metazoa; Chordata; Actinopteri; Centrarchiformes; Sinipercidae
Exons: 2
Source: RefSeq, a predicted model, not a curated record
GGGCUACACAGUCGAGCUGAAUCCGUACAGUGAAGUGUUUGUCCCCGAUGCUGCUCCUCUCCGCGGUGCUGAGGACGUCGCCGAGGCGACGAGUUACCUGGAGCAUCGUGUUCACGAGUCCGAGCCGGCCAACACGCAGCGCAGCGGCCAGCGCGGGCUGACUUUAAUAAAUACGGCUGCACAUCUAUUGGGACGUGACUUAUUGUCCAACCAUUUAUUGCAUCAAACAAGUAAUAAUAUAUAUGUGCUGUUGUCUGCUGCUGCUCCAGUUUGUCGAGGAGUCAAAGGUUUAUUUGUCACACAAACAGUGUGGCCUCCAAAGGCUGCAAAACCGGUGGAAGGUAAGAAAAAAGGAUGGAAAUGUAAAAGUAAACGUGUGAAAUGCAUUUACACGCUUGAGUGUUUCUAAAAUCCACAUUACAGACUACAUCUGAACAGGUCUGGGGCGCGUUCACACUGGAAAAGAGUCAAAAUCAAGUUUACCCAGCACAGUCAGUACGCAGACUGCUGCCGAGGCGUAACCGUCUCCCGAAGGCCCCGACUGUCUGAGCGCCAAACAAACAUGGACGCCGUUUAAUGUAAUUAACCGCUGAUUUAAUGGACGCUGCAGCCGUAAACACUGACUCUUUCUCCAUCACAAGACCUUUCAUCUCUGGAAAAACCUUCUGACGUGUGUUUGUUUCCAUCAGUGCACGUAUUGUAUCACUUCCUAUUGCCGUAAAAUUAAUAAUAAAACUGUUUUGUUUC